Molecule: ribosomal RNA, 313 nt
Filed under: uncultured bacterium
Lineage: Bacteria
Description: bacterial SSU rRNA
Rfam family: Bacterial small subunit ribosomal RNA
Source: RNAcentral
AUUGAACGCUGGCGGCAUGCUUUACACAUGCAAGUCGAACGGCAGCGAGGAGAAGCUUGCUUCUCUGUCGGCGAGUGGCGAACGGGUGAGUAUAGCAUCGGAACGUGCCAAGUAGUGGGGGAUAACCAAACGAAAGUUUGGCUAAUACCGCGUAAGCUCCAAGGAGGAAAGUAGGGGACCUAAAUAAGGCCUUACGCUAUUUGAUCGGCCGAUGUCGGAUUAGUUAGUUGGUGGGGUAAUGGCUCACCAAGGCAAUGAUCCGUAGCGGGUCUGAGAGGACGAUCCGCCACACUGGGACUGAGACACGGCCCAG